AGAGUUGAUCCUGGCUCAGGAUGAACGCUAGCGGCAGGCUAACACAUGCAAGUCGAGGGGCAGCGGGAUGUAGCAAUACAUUGCCGGCGACCGGCGGAUGGGUGCGUAACGCGUAUGCAACCUACCUUAUACAGGGGAAUAACCUUUCGAAAGGGAGACUAACACCCCAUGGUAUUGAUUUAAGGCAUCUUAGAUUAAUUAAAUAUUUAUAGGUAUAAGAUGGGCAUGCGUAUGAUUAGCUAGUUGGUAAGGUAACGGCUUACCAAGGCGACGAUCAUUAGGGGUUCUGAGAGGAAGGUCCCCCCACACUGGUACUGAGACACGGACCAGACUCCUACGGGAGGCAGCAGUGAGGAAUAUUGGUCAAUGGGCGCAAGCCUGAACCAGCCAUGCCGCGUGCAGGAAAGACGGCCUUAUGGGUUGUAAACUGCUUUUACAUAAGACUAACCGUAUAUUUGCGAAUAUACCUGAAUGUAUUAUGAGAAUAAGGAUCGGCUAACUCCGUGCCAGCCGCAGC
This 517-nucleotide ribosomal RNA is filed under the name uncultured bacterium. RNAcentral describes it as "bacterial SSU rRNA". It matches the Rfam family "Bacterial small subunit ribosomal RNA", at positions 8 to 518 of the family's 1533-position model. The record is from RNAcentral.